GUACACACCGCCCGUCACRCCAUGGGAGUUGGCGGCACCAGAAGUCGGUGGCUUMAACCUUCGGGRGGGCGCUGACCACGGUGUGGUCAAUGACUGGGGUGAAGUCGUAACAAGGUWKCCGUAGGUGAACCUGCAGAAGGAUCA
This 144-nucleotide ribosomal RNA is filed under the name uncultured eukaryote. Its description in RNAcentral is "partial small subunit ribosomal RNA". The record is from RNAcentral.